RNAcentral lists this ribosomal RNA (497 nucleotides) under uncultured bacterium. RNAcentral describes it as "partial 16S ribosomal RNA". It matches the Rfam family "Bacterial small subunit ribosomal RNA", at positions 28 to 507 of the family's 1533-position model. The record is from RNAcentral.
GAUGAACGCUGGCGGCGUGCCUAAUACAUGCAAGUCGAGCGAACGGACGAGAAGCUUGCUUCUCUGAUGUUAGCGGCGGACGGGUGAGUAACACGUGGAUAACCUACCUAUAAGACUGGGAUAACUUCGGGAAACCGGAGCUAAUACCGGAUAAUAUUUUGAACCGCAUGGUUCAAAAGUGAAAGACGGUCUUGCUGUCACUUAUAGAUGGAUCCGCGCUGCAUUAGCUAGUUGGUAAGGUAACGGCUUACCAAGGCAACGAUGCAUAGCCGACCUGAGAGGGUGAUCGGCCACACUGGAACUGAGACACGGUCCAGACUCCUACGGGAGGCAGCAGUAGGGACUCUUCCGCAAUGGGCGAAAGCCUGACGGAGCAACGCCGCGUGAGUGAUGAAGGUCUUCGGAUCGUAAAACUCUGUUAUUAGGGAAGAACAUAUGUGUAAGUAACUGUGCACAUCUUGACGGUACCUAAUCAGAAAGCCACGGCUAACUACGUG